This 81-nucleotide transfer RNA is filed under the name Serratia marcescens. RNAcentral's name for it is "tRNA-Gly(tcc)". Lineage: Bacteria; Pseudomonadati; Pseudomonadota; Gammaproteobacteria; Enterobacterales; Yersiniaceae. The record is from RNAcentral.
CGCGCUGGUGGAAAGCGGCGCCGUAUCGGUGACCUUCCAGGACACCCACGACAACCCGGUGUUCGAGCCGCUGCCGGGUGA